CUUACCUUAGCUCAGUUUGUAGAGCGGAGGACUGUAGUGGAUGCAUAUCCUUGUAGUCAUCCUUAGGUCGCUGGUUCGAAUCCUACAUGUCGGA
Transfer RNA from Cephalotus follicularis, 94 nucleotides. It matches the Rfam family "tRNA". From Rfam's summary of the family: Transfer RNA (tRNA) molecules are approximately 80 nucleotides in length. Their secondary structure includes four short double-helical elements and three loops (D, anti-codon, and T loops). The record is from Rfam. Lineage: Eukaryota; Viridiplantae; Streptophyta; Magnoliopsida; Oxalidales; Cephalotaceae.